GUCUUGUAAUCAAGAUCAAGAGUAUAGAUCUUGUUUUAAAUAGUUUAAAGAAUUUUCUAACAAAAGUUCAAUUGAUUUGGAUAUCUUUACGCCGUUAAACGAGAAAACGCCUCUUAUCGACCAUUAAAAUUACAAAUUUUGAAACCCUUUGAUCAUUAGGCAAAUGAUGUCGAAAUGAUUUGAAAUUUGAUUUCUAAACACUUCAAGUGGUAUAGAUCAUGUUCAACGGAGCCGAUCGUCAAUUUGGAAGCUCUAUUAUCGCAAACAAAUCGGUAGUAAAACGGCUCGUUUACUACCGAUAGUAUU
This 306-nucleotide long non-coding RNA is filed under the name Ananas comosus (pineapple). RNAcentral's name for it is "long non-coding RNA (ACOM_LNC025775)". Lineage: Eukaryota; Viridiplantae; Streptophyta; Magnoliopsida; Poales; Bromeliaceae. The record is from RNAcentral.